RNAcentral lists this unclassified non-coding RNA (382 nucleotides) under Hevea brasiliensis (rubber tree). Lineage: Eukaryota; Viridiplantae; Streptophyta; Magnoliopsida; Malpighiales; Euphorbiaceae. The record is from RNAcentral.
UGAAAUAUGUGAAUCUAAACAGUUCAGAGGAUACAAGAUUUGAUAUCGUACACAUUAUACUUUGUAUAUUAUCACAAAAUGCAAACAAAGCGAAUUUCCAAGAUACAAAACAACAAAUUCUUAAUGCUUGUCCAAGUCCACCAGGCUUUGCCAACUGUCUUCACAAACAUUGUCUAAUCCAUUGUUUUAUGUGCACCUCAAAUUUGCACUAUCAUUAAUUUCCAAAGGGAUAUGAGUUUCAAGAUCUGCUGCAGCAAAAUCCUCUUGCAUAAGUCACACACGACAUACUUUUAACUCAAAAAUUACAGGCAGCUUAUGGUUUCCAGGGAGCCGGAGGUGGGGGUGGCGUGGGAAACAUUGGAGGAACAGCUGAGAAAAUUGU